CCUUUUGAUUUUAAUUUAAGGUCUGAUCUGCCCACUGAGGAAUUAAAUGGCCGCGGUAUUUUGACCGUGCAAAGGUAGCAUAAUCAUUAGUUUUUUAAUUGAAAGCUGGAAUGAAAGAUUUGAUGAGAAAAUGACUGUCUCAAUUUAAUUUAUUUAGAAUUUUAUUUUUAAGUUAAAAAGCUUAAAUAUUUUUAAAAGACGAGAAGACCCUAUAGAGUUUUAUAUUUAAAUUUAAAAGUUAAUUGUUUUAAAUAUUUUAUAUUUAAAUAAAUAUUUUAUUGGGGUGAUAAAAAAAUUAAAUUAACUUUUUUUAUAUAAUAAUACUAAUAAGUAAUUUUUUGAUCCAAUUUUUUUGAUUAUAAGAUAAAAUUACCUUAGGGAUAACAGCGUAAUUUUUUUUAAGAGUUCUUAUCGAAAAAAAAGAUUGCGACCUCGAUGUUGGAUUAAAAUUAAGUUUUGGUGUAGAAGCUAGAAUUUUAGGUCUGUUCGACCUUUAAAACUUU
RNAcentral lists this ribosomal RNA (503 nucleotides) under Monophylla californica. Its description in RNAcentral is "partial 16S ribosomal RNA". The stretch from base 380 to 503 matches the Rfam family "Bacterial large subunit ribosomal RNA", at positions 2473 to 2597 of the family's 2925-position model. The record is from RNAcentral. Lineage: Eukaryota; Metazoa; Arthropoda; Insecta; Coleoptera; Cleridae.